RNAcentral lists this ribosomal RNA (581 nucleotides) under uncultured bacterium. RNAcentral describes it as "bacterial SSU rRNA". It matches the Rfam family "Bacterial small subunit ribosomal RNA", at positions 8 to 585 of the family's 1533-position model. The record is from RNAcentral.
AGAGUUUGAUCCUGGCUCAGGAUGAACGCUAGCGGCAGGCCUAACACAUGCAAGUCGAGGGGUAACAGGAAAGCUUGCUUUUGCUGACGACCGGCGCACGGGUGCGUAACGCGUAUGCAACCUACCUCAUACAGGAGGACAGCCCUUGGAAACGAGGAUUAAUACUCCAUGGCAUCAUGAAUUCGCAUGUUUUUAUGAUUAAAGUAUUACGGUAUGAGAUGGGCAUGCGUCCCAUUAGCUAGUUGGUGGGGUAACGGCUCACCAAGGCGACGAUGGGUAGGGGGCCUGAGAGGGUGGUCCCCCACACUGGUACUGAGACACGGACCAGACUCCUACGGGAGGCAGCAGUGAGGAAUAUUGGUCAAUGGAGGCAACUCUGAACCAGCCAUGCCGCGUGAAGGAUGACGGCCCUAUGGGUUGUAAACUUCUUUUAUAGAGGAAGAAACUUGCCUACGUGUAGGCAACUGACGGUACUCUACGAAUAAGGAUCGGCUAACUCCGUGCCAGCAGCCGCGGUAAUACGGAGGAUCCAAGCGUUAUCCGGAUUCAUUGGGUUUAAAGGGUCCGUAGCGGGUCUUUAA